RNAcentral lists this ribosomal RNA (485 nucleotides) under Vibrio alginolyticus. RNAcentral describes it as "bacterial SSU rRNA". It matches the Rfam family "Bacterial small subunit ribosomal RNA", at positions 1 to 471 of the family's 1533-position model. Lineage: Bacteria; Pseudomonadati; Pseudomonadota; Gammaproteobacteria; Vibrionales; Vibrionaceae. The record is from RNAcentral. RNAcentral also lists the same sequence under 1 other name.
AAAUUGAAGAGUUUGAUCAUGGCUCAGAUUGAACGCUGGCGGCAGGCCUAACACAUGCAAGUCGAGCGGAAACGAGUUAUCUGAACCUUCGGGGAACGAUAACGGCGUCGAGCGGCGGACGGGUGAGUAAUGCCUAGGAAAUUGCCCUGAUGUGGGGGAUAACCAUUGGAAACGAUGGCUAAUACCGCAUGAUGCCUACGGGCCAAAGAGGGGGACCUUCGGGCCUCUCGCGUCAGGAUAUGCCUAGGUGGGAUUAGCUAGUUGGUGAGGUAAGGGCUCACCAAGGCGACGAUCCCUAGCUGGUCUGAGAGGAUGAUCAGCCACACUGGAACUGAGACACGGUCCAGACUCCUACGGGAGGCAGCAGUGGGGAAUAUUGCACAAUGGGCGCAAGCCUGAUGCAGCCAUGCCGCGUGUGUGAAGAAGGCCUUCGGGUUGUAAAGCACUUUCAGUCGUGAGGAAGGUAGUGUAGUUAAUAGCUGCAU